This 244-nucleotide ribosomal RNA is filed under the name Shigella flexneri. RNAcentral describes it as "partial 16S ribosomal RNA". It matches the Rfam family "Bacterial small subunit ribosomal RNA", at positions 134 to 380 of the family's 1533-position model. The record is from RNAcentral. Lineage: Bacteria; Pseudomonadati; Pseudomonadota; Gammaproteobacteria; Enterobacterales; Enterobacteriaceae.
UGGAGGGGGAUAACUACUGGAAACGGUAGCUAAUACCGCAUAACGUCGCAAGACCAAAGAGGGGGACCUUCGGGCCUCUUGCCAUCGGAUGUGCCCAGAUGGGAUUAGCUUGUUGGUGGGGUAACGGCUCACCAAGGCGACGAUCCCUAGCUGGUCUGAGAGGAUGACCAGCCACACUGGAACUGAGACACGGUCCAGACUCCUACGGGAGGCAGCAGUGGGGAAUAUUGCACAAUGGGCGCAA